This 484-nucleotide ribosomal RNA is filed under the name uncultured bacterium. RNAcentral's name for it is "partial 16S ribosomal RNA". It matches the Rfam family "Bacterial small subunit ribosomal RNA", at positions 899 to 1397 of the family's 1533-position model. The record is from RNAcentral.
ACUCAAAUGAAUUGACGGGGACCCACACAAGCGGUGGAGCAUCUGGUUUAAUUCGACAAUAAGCGAAGAACCUCACCAAGACUUGACAUCCCGGGAAGUCUGCGGAAACGCGGAUGUGCCGUAAGGAACCCGGAGACAGGUGCUGCAUGGUUGUCGUCAGCUCGUGCCUUGAGGUGUUCGGUUAAGUCCGUAAACGAGCGCAACCCAUGUCAUAAGUUGUAUUUUUCUUAUGAGACUGCCGGCUCUAAGUCGGAGGAAGGUAUGGAUGACGUCAAAUCAGCAUGGCCCUUAUGUCUUGGGCGACACAGGUGCUACAAUGGCAUAUACAGUGGGAUGCAACGAAGCAAUUCAGAGCUAAUCUCAAAAACAUGCCUCAGUUCGGAUUGAGGGCUGCAACUCGCCCUCAUGAAGCCGGAAUCGCUAGUAAACGCGAAUCAGCCAUGUCGCGUUGAAUAUGUUCCUGGGUCUUGUACACACCGCCCGU